UAAAAAAAGGUAAGCUACUAAGAGCGAAUGGUGGAUGCCUUGACUGGUAAAGGCGAUGAAGGACGUACUAGACUGCGAUAAGCUACGGGGAGCUGUCAAGAAGCUUUGAUCCGUAGAUUUCCGAAUGGGGCAACCCAAUGUAUAGAGAUAUACAUUACCUAUAUAGGAGCGAACGAGGGGAAUUGAAACAUCUUAGUACCCUCAGGAAAAGAAAUCAAUAGAGAUUGCGUCAGUAGCGGCGAGCGAAAGCGCAAGAGGGCAAACCCAGUGCUUGCACUGGGGGUUGUAGGACUGCAAUGUGCAAGAGCUGAGUUUAGCAGAACAUUCUGGAAAGUAUAGCCAUAGAGGGUGAUAGUCCCGUAUGCGAAAAACAAAGCUUAGCUAGCAGUAUCCUGAGUAGGGCGGGACACGAGGAAUCCUGUCUGAAUCCGGGUCGACCACGAUCCAACCCUAAAUACUAAUACCAGAUCGAUAGUGCACAAGUACCGUGAGGGAAAGGUGAAAAGAACUGAGGUGAUCAGAGUGAAAUAGAACCUGAAACCAUUUGCUUACAAUCAUUCAGAGCACUAUGUAGCAAUACAGUGUGAUGGACUGCCUUUUGCAUAAUGAGCCUGCGAGUUGUGGUGUCUGGCAAGGUUAAGCAAACGCGAAGCCGUAGCGAAAGCGAGUCUGAAUAGGGCGCUUAGUCAGAUGCUGCAGACCCGAAACGAAGUGAUCUAUCCAUGAGCAAGUUGAAGCUAGUGUAAGAACUAGUGGAGGACUGAACCCAUAGGCGUUGAAAAGCCCCGGGAUGACUUGUGGAUAGGGGUGAAAGGCCAAUCAAACUUCGUGAUAGCUGGUUCUCUCCGAAAUAUAUUUAGGUAUAGCGUUGUGUCGUAAUAUAAGGGGGUAGAGCACUGAAUGGGCUAGGGCAUACACCAAUGUACCAAACCCUAUCAAACUCCGAAUACCUUAUAUGUAAUCACAGCAGUCAGGCGGCGAGUGAUAAAAUCCGUCGUCAAGAGGGAAACAACCCAGACUACCAGCUAAGGUCCCUAAAUCUUACUUAAGUGGAAAACGAUGUGAAGUUACUUAAACAACCAGGAGGUUGGCUUAGAAGCAGCCAUCCUUUAAAGAAAGCGUAAUAGCUCACUGGUCUAGUGAUUUUGCGCGGAAAAUAUAACGGGGCUAAAGUAAGUACCGAAGCUGUAGACUUGCACACAACUUAGAUUAUUUAAGUUUAGAAUAUGAGAAACUAAGUUAUAUGUUUAGUUAUAUUUUUACUGAUUUUUAUAGAGUAAAGAUAGAAAUAAAACUUAGUAAAAUCAGUAAAAAUAUUCUUAGGCUAAAGUUAAGUAGUUUAAGUUGUGUGCAAGUGGUAGGAGAGCGUUCUAUUUGCGUCGAAGGUAUACCGGUAAGGAGUGCUGGAGCGAAUAGAAGUGAGCAUGCAGGCAUGAGUAGCGAUAAUUAAUGUGAGAAUCAUUAACGCCGUAAACCCAAGGUUUCCUACGCGAUGCUCGUCAUCGUAGGGUUAGUCGGGUCCUAAGUCGAGUCCGAAAGGGGUAGACGAUGGCAAAUUGGUUAAUAUUCCAAUACCAACAUUAGUGUGCGAUGGAAGGACGCUUAGGGCUAAGGGGGCUAGCGGAUGGAAGUGCUAGUCUAAGGUUGUAGGAGGUUAUACAGGCAAAUCCGUAUAACAAUACUCCGAGAACUGAAAGGCUUUUUGAAGUCUUCGGAUGGAAAGAAGAACCCCUGAUGCCGUCGAGCCAAGAAAAGUUUCUAAGUUUAGCUAAUGUUGCCCGUACCGUAAACCGACACAGGUGGGUGGGAUGAGUAUUCUAAGGCGCGUGGAAGAACUCUCUUUAAGGAACUCUGCAAAAUAGCACCGUAUCUUCGGUAUAAGGUGUGCCUCCCUUUGUAUUAGGAUUUACUCCGAAAGCAAAGAAGGUUACAACAAAGAGUCCCUCCCGACUGUUUACCAAAAACACAGCACUCUGCUAACUCGUAAGAGGAUGUAUAGGGUGUGACGCCUGCCCGGUGCUCGAAGGUUAAUUGAUGGGGUUAGCAUUAGCGAAGCUCUUGAUCGAAGCCCGAGUAAACGGCGGCCGUAACUAUAACGGUCCUAAGGUAGCGAAAUUCCUUGUCGGUUAAAUACCGACCUGCAUGAAUGGCGUAACGAGAUGGGAGCUGUCUCAAAGAGGGAUCCAGUGAAAUUGUAGUGGAGGUGAAAAUUCCUCCUACCCGCGGCAAGACGGAGAGACCCCGUGGACCUUUACUACAGCUUGACACUGCUAUUUGGAUAAGAAUGUGCAGGAUAGGUGGGAGGCUUUGAGUAUAUGACGCCAGUUGUAUAUGAGCCAUUGUUGAGAUACCACUCUUUCUUAUUUGGGUAGCUAACCAGCUUGAGUUAUCCUCAAGUGGGACAAUGUCUGGUGGGUAGUUUGACUGGGGCGGUCGCCUCCCAAAUAAUAACGGAGGCUUACAAAGGUUGGCUCAGAACGGUUGGAAAUCGUUCGUAGAGUAUAAAGGUAUAAGCCAGCUUAACUGCAAGACAUACAAGUCAAGCAGAGACGAAAGUCGGUCUUAGUGAUCCGGUGGUUCUGUGUGGAAGGGCCAUCGCUCAAAGGAUAAAAGGUACCCCGGGGAUAACAGGCUGAUCUCCCCCAAGAGCUCACAUCGACGGGGAGGUUUGGCACCUCGAUGUCGGCUCAUCGCAUCCUGGGGCUGGAGCAGGUCCCAAGGGUAUGGCUGUUCGCCAUUUAAAGCGGUACGCGAGCUGGGUUCAGAACGUCGUGAGACAGUUCGGUCCCUAUCUGCCGUGGGCGUAAGAAGAUUGAAGAGAUUUGACCCUAGUACGAGAGGACCGGGUUGAACAAACCACUGGUGUAGCUGUUGUUCUGCCAAGAGCAUCGCAGCGUAGCUAAGUUUGGAAAGGAUAAACGCUGAAAGCAUCUAAGCGUGAAGCCAACUCUAAGAUGAAUCUUCUCUAAGCUCUCUAGAAGACUACUAGUUUGAUAGGCUGGGUGUGUAAUGGAUGAAAGUCCUUUAGCUGACCAGUACUAAUAGAGCGUUUGGCUUAUCUUUAAUAAAGCAU
Molecule: ribosomal RNA, 3073 nt
Filed under: Campylobacter jejuni
Lineage: Bacteria; Pseudomonadati; Campylobacterota; Epsilonproteobacteria; Campylobacterales; Campylobacteraceae
Description: 23S ribosomal RNA
Rfam family: Bacterial large subunit ribosomal RNA
Source: RNAcentral